UACCGUGGGGGGAAAGUUGAAAAGAACUUUGAAGAGAGAGUUCAAGAGUACGUGAAACCGUUCAGGGGUAAACCUGAGAAACCCAAAAGAUCGAAUGGGGAGAUUCAUCGUCAGCCUCUUUGGCUUCCGUGCGGAUCGCGAUGAUCGAGACUUCGGUCUCGCGUCACGCGUUCGCUGCGGUAUGUCCGAGGUGGUCGGCGUGCACUUCUCCCCUAGUAGGACGUCGCGACCCGUUGGGUGCCGGCCUACGGCCCGGUUGGUCGACUGGCGAGUUGCGUUCACGCGUGUACUUGUCAGACCACUGGAUGCCCGGCCUGCUGCCCGGCGGUAUAGAAUCUACAUUGAACGGUAUUGGGCCGCAUUUAUGUGCGUUCAGGCUCGUCGGCAGGCUCGCCUCGCUCGGAUUUACGGACCUAGCGCCGUUGCCGGGCGCUUGGCGCGGCCGUUAGUCGACGAUGUCCUCGGACUGGCUCUUUUUAUAUUCGAACGGAUAUACCGGUCGGCGACGCUACUGCUUUGGGUACUUUCAGGACCCGUCUUGAA
Molecule: ribosomal RNA, 543 nt
Filed under: Coccophagus philippiae
Lineage: Eukaryota; Metazoa; Arthropoda; Insecta; Hymenoptera; Aphelinidae
Description: partial large subunit ribosomal RNA
Rfam family: Eukaryotic large subunit ribosomal RNA
Source: RNAcentral